ACCUGACUGCUAUCGGAUUAAUACUAAGCCAUGCGAGUCAUUGUAGCAAUACAAGGCAUACGGCUCAGUAACGCGUAGUCAACCUAACCUAUGGACGGGAAUAACCUCGGGAAACUGAGAAUAAUGCCCGAUAGAACAUUAUACCUGGAAUGGUUUAUGUUCCAAAUGAUUUAUCGCCAUAGGAUGGGACUGCGGCCUAUCAGUUUGUUGGUGAGGUAAUGGCCCACCAAGACUAUUACAGGUACGGGCUCUGAGAGGAGUAGCCCGGAGAUGGGUACUGAGACACGGACCCAGGCCCUAUGGGGCGCAGCAGGCGAGAAAACUUUGCAAUGUGCGAAAGCAGGACAAGGUUAAUCCGAGUGAUUUCUGCUAAAGAGAUCUUUUGUUAGUCCUAGAAACACUAACGAAUAAGGGGUGGGCAAGUUCUGGUGUCAGCCGCCGCGGUAAAACCAGCACCUCAAGUGGUCAGGAUGAUUAUUGGGCCUAAAGCAUCCGUAGCCGGCUCUGUAAGUUUUCGGUUAAAUCUGUACGCUCAACGUACAGGCUGCCGGGAAUACUGCAGAACUAGGGAGUGGGAGAGGUAGACGGUACUCGGUAGGAAGUGGUAAAAUGCUUUGAUCUAUCGAUGACCACCUGUGGCGAAGGCGGUCUACCAGAACACGUCCGACGGUGAGGGAUGAAAGCUGGGGGAGCAAACCGGAUUAGAUACCCGGGUAGUCCCAGCUGUAAACUAUGCAAACUCAGUGAUGCAUUGGCUUGUGGCCAAUGCAGUGCUGCAGGGAAGCCGUUAAGUUUGCCGCCUGGGAAGUACGUACGCAAGUAUGAAACUUAAAGGAAUUGGCGGGGGAGCACCACAAGGGGUGAAGCCUGCGGUUC
This 876-nucleotide ribosomal RNA is filed under the name uncultured crenarchaeote. Its description in RNAcentral is "bacterial SSU rRNA". It matches the Rfam family "Archaeal small subunit ribosomal RNA", at positions 21 to 903 of the family's 1478-position model. The record is from RNAcentral. Lineage: Archaea; Thermoproteati; Thermoproteota.